Prionailurus viverrinus (fishing cat) is the source of this 817-nucleotide long non-coding RNA. RefSeq lists it as uncharacterized. NCBI's taxonomy places the organism in Eukaryota, Metazoa, Chordata, Mammalia, Carnivora, Felidae. The transcript is spliced from 3 exons. The record is from RefSeq and is a predicted model, not a curated record.
ACCUAUGGUAUGCUACUGUGGUGCCAGUCCAGAUGCCUACUCGUCCUUGGAGUACCCUGUUCCUCUUUGGAAUCCGGCCUACUUGGUUUCCUUGUGAAUUCAGGUCUCUAAUAGGUAAAAGCAAAGUUAUGAUUUUGCUGUUUAUCUAGUUUUACAUGGUAGGGUGGAUAUGACACUCUUUCAUGCUUUAUAUAUCUUAUGACAAAUUGGAACUCUGUCCAUCUUCCAGUGCACCUAAAAUUGAAAUAUUGGCAUCAGGAAUGCAGCACUGCAAAAUAUAUGAUCGUUGUAAGUCACAAUUCAUAAUUGAAAUAUCUCCUUCCUAUUCAAUCAGAAUAGGACAGCGCUGGUUUACCUUCUGCUGGUUGUAUUUUGACUUCUACUGAUCGCUAAACCCCCUUUAAGAAAAUGAGCCUAUUUAUAUUUUAUUUUUAGGAAUUUUGUAGAAACUAGAAUCUUCAUUGGAUCUUUGCUGAAGAAGGAACAGGCAAGUCCCAGAAGGGAUCUUUGCUGAUUCUGUGAUUUCAGCUAGAUUCCCAUGAUUGGGAAUCAUGGGAGUAAAUCUGGAUCCAAGAAGAAUAAAUCCCAAAGAAACACUGCAAGGCCGAGGAAUCAGGGUGAUGUUGGCCUGGUUCAUCACCCUUCGAACUGCAUCCUAAAGGCUCCAGUGUGAUACAUCCAUCUCAACAGAGAAUCAGGAUGGCUACCCAAAACAAGAUGCUUGCAGCUGAUGGUAUUCCACUAUGCUGGGCUCUCUGGAAGCAAUCAAGGAAAUCUCAAACUCACGUGAUAUUUGCAUCCACAAGAUCAACACUGG